UUUCCGUAGGUGAACCUGCGGAAGGAUCAUUAAAGUUAUAGUCCCCCGGCCCUCUGGGCUGGGGUCUUCUAUACCACCCUUUGUUUAUUACACCUUUGUUGCUUUGGCAGGCCUGCCCUCGGGCUGCUGGCUCCGGCCAGCUCGCGUCUGCCAGAGGACCUAAACUCUGUUUGUAUAUGAAGUCUGAGUACUAUAUAAUAGUUAAAACUUUCAACAACGGAUCUCUUGGUUCUG
This 234-nucleotide unclassified non-coding RNA is filed under the name plant metagenome. RNAcentral describes it as "partial contains small subunit ribosomal RNA, internal transcribed spacer 1, and 5.8S ribosomal RNA". The record is from RNAcentral.